This 273-nucleotide ribosomal RNA is filed under the name uncultured bacterium. Its description in RNAcentral is "partial 16S ribosomal RNA". It matches the Rfam family "Bacterial small subunit ribosomal RNA", at positions 524 to 794 of the family's 1533-position model. The record is from RNAcentral.
UACAGAGGUCCCCGAGCGUUGUUCGGAUUUACUGGGCGUAAAGGGUGCGUAGGCGGUCGGGUAAGUUUGAUGUGAAAUCUCCAAGCUUAACUUGGAAACGGCAUUGAAUACUAUCCGGCUAGAGGUUUGGAGGGGGACGUGGAAUUCCCGGUCGUAGCAGUGAAAUGCGUAGAUAUCGGGAGGAACACCAGUGGCGAAGGCGAGUCCCUGGACAACACCUGACGCUGAGGCACGAAAGCUAGGGGAGCAAACAGGAUUAGAAACCCCUGUAGU